UUUUUUCAUCUAUCCUUUUUUUUUUCUCUUUAGCAAAUAAAUUUUCAAUCUUAUGUAGAUAGAUGCAAUCAACCAUUCAUAUUAUAGCAAUUCCAUUUCAUGAUACAUCUAGACAUGACAGGUAAGUUAUUUCCCCUUUUGGAUACUGAACCAACUUACUAGCAUUUCGAAGAGAAAAAUCCACCCACUAAAACGAAGUACGACAAAUUAUCAAAUUAUCAUGGAAAUUCCAAGUUAUGCUUGAAUCA
Molecule: unclassified non-coding RNA, 248 nt
Filed under: Hevea brasiliensis (rubber tree)
Lineage: Eukaryota; Viridiplantae; Streptophyta; Magnoliopsida; Malpighiales; Euphorbiaceae
Source: RNAcentral